Molecule: ribosomal RNA, 1002 nt
Filed under: Latilactobacillus sakei
Lineage: Bacteria; Bacillati; Bacillota; Bacilli; Lactobacillales; Lactobacillaceae
Description: bacterial SSU rRNA
Rfam family: Bacterial small subunit ribosomal RNA
Source: RNAcentral
UGAUCAGGUAGUGACGGUAUCCAAACAGAAAGCCAUGGUUAACUACGUGCCAGCAGCCGCGGUAAUACGUAGGUGCCAGCGUUGUCCGGAUUUAUGGGCGUAAAGCGAGCGCAGGCGGUUUAUUAAGUCUGAUGUGAAAGCCUUCGGCUCAACCGAAGAAGUGCAUCGGAAACUGAGAAACUUGAGUGCAGAAGAGGACAGUGGAACUCCAUGUGUAGCGGUGAAAUGCGUAGAUAUAUGGAAGAACACCAGUGGCGAAGGCGGCUGUCUGGUCUGUAACUGACGCUGAGGCUCGAAAGCAUGGGUAGCAAACAGGAUUAGAUACCCUGGUAGUCCAUGCCGUAAACGAUGAGUGCUAGGUGUUGGAGGGUUUCCGCCCUUCAGUGCCGCAGCUAACGCAUUAAGCACUCCGCCUGGGGAGUACGACCGCAAGGUUGAAACUCAAAGGAAUUGACGGGGGCCCGCACAAGCGGUGGAGCAUGUGGUUUAAUUCGAAGCAACGCGAAGAACCUUACCAGGUCUUGACAUCCUUUGACCACUCUAGAGAUAGAGCUUUCCCUUCGGGGACAAAGUGACAGGUGGUGCAUGGUUGUCGUCAGCUCGUGUCGUGAGAUGUUGGGUUAAGUCCCGCAACGAGCGCAACCCUUAUUACUAGUUGCCAGCAUUUAGUUGGGCACUCUAGUGAGACUGCCGGUGACAAACCGGAGGAAGGUGGGGACGACGUCAAAUCAUCAUGCCCCUUAUGACCUGGGCUACACACGUGCUACAAUGGAUGGUACAACGAGUUGCGAGACCGCGAGGUUUAGCUAAUCUCUUAAAACCAUUCUCAGUUCGGAUUGUAGGCUGCAACUCGCCUACAUGAAGCCGGAAUCGCUAGUAAUCGCGGAUCAGCAUGCCGCGGUGAAUACGUUCCCGGGCCUUGUACACACCGCCCGUCACACCAUGAGAGUUUGUAACACCCAAAGCCGGUGAGGUAACCCUUCGGGGAGCCAGCCGUCUAAG